Molecule: long non-coding RNA, 106 nt
Organism: Notothenia coriiceps (black rockcod)
Lineage: Eukaryota; Metazoa; Chordata; Actinopteri; Perciformes; Nototheniidae
Exons: 3
Source: RefSeq, a predicted model, not a curated record
UUUUCAGGCUGCUAAAUUGGGAUUGCGGAGAAAUGCUCCCCGCAGACCCAUUCUCACAGCGUUAUAAACCUUUUUCUUACUCAAUAUAAAGCCACACUUAUUGUUU